Molecule: unclassified non-coding RNA, 367 nt
Filed under: Hevea brasiliensis (rubber tree)
Lineage: Eukaryota; Viridiplantae; Streptophyta; Magnoliopsida; Malpighiales; Euphorbiaceae
Source: RNAcentral
AAAAGAAGCCCUUAAUUUCAAAGAACACUGAACGUGCUUACUUUGAUUCGGCCGACUGGGCCCUUGGAAAGCAAGGAACGAAGGGGGGACAGGACACCAGAAGUCCUGUGGAGUCCCUGAGGCCCAAGCUGCAGCCAACGCCCCAUCAUCGGCUGCCCCCUCGGAGGCCAGCAUACACAACGGGGUGAAAUCAGGCUUAAUGGAGCUUCGAGAGUUGAGGAUAGCGCAGAUGUUUCCACCUCUUGUCAUUAUUUUGGUCAUUUUAAGCCUGUCUUUUUCCUUUGUUGCAAUUGUUUUAAGUUAAUUCAGAAAAUGUUAUCCUUCGUGAAGGAAGCAGAUGGUACUUUAAACAGGAAGGCAUAAUUUU